GGGUUGUGAGGUUAAGCGACUAAGCGUACACGGUGGAUGCCCUGGCAGUCAGAGGCGAUGAAGGGCGUGCUAAUCUGCGAUAAGCGCCGGUAAGGUGAUAUGAACCGUUAUAACCGGCGAUACCCGAAUGGGGAAACCCAGUGUGACUCGUCACACUAUCAUUAACUGAAUCCAUAGGUUAAUGAGGCGAACCGGGGGAACUGAAACAUCUAAGUACCCCGAGGAAAAGAAAUCAACCGAGAUUCCCCCAGUAGCGGCGAGCGAACGGGGAGGAGCCCAGAGCCUGAAUCAGCAUGUGUGUUAGUGGAAGCGUCUGGAAAGGCGCGCGAUACAGGGUGACAGCCCCGUACACAAAAGCGCAUGUGCUGUGAGCUCGAUGAGUA
This 383-nucleotide ribosomal RNA is filed under the name Salmonella enterica subsp. enterica serovar Brandenburg. Its description in RNAcentral is "bacterial LSU rRNA". It matches the Rfam family "Bacterial large subunit ribosomal RNA", at positions 1 to 414 of the family's 2925-position model. The record is from RNAcentral. RNAcentral also lists the same sequence under 3 other names. Lineage: Bacteria; Pseudomonadati; Pseudomonadota; Gammaproteobacteria; Enterobacterales; Enterobacteriaceae.